CUGAUGCAGCGACGCCGCGUGAGGGAUGACGGCCUUCGGGUUGUAAACCUCUUUCAGUAGGGAAGAAGCGAAAGUGACGGUACCUGCAGAAGAAGCGCCGGCUAACUACGUGCCAGCAGCCGCGGUAAUACGUAGGGCGCAAGCGUUGUCCGGAAUUAUUGGGCGUAAAGAGCUCGUAGGCGGUUUGUCGCGUCUGCUGUGAAAGCCCGGGGCUCAACCCCGGGUCUGCAGUGGGUACGGGCAGACUAGAGUGCAGUAGGGGAGACUGGAAUUCCUGGUGUAGCGGUGAAAUGCGCAGAUAUCAGGAGGAACACCGAUGGCGAAGGCAGGUCUCUGGGCUGUUACUGACGCUGAGGAGCGAAAGCAUGGGGAGCGAACAGGAUUAGAUACCCUGGUAGUCCAUGCCGUAAACGUUGGGCACUAGGUGUGGGGGACAUUCCACGUUUUCCGCGCCGUAGCUAACGCAUUAAGUGCCCCGCCUGGGGAGUACGGCCGCAAGGCUAAAACUCAAG
This 512-nucleotide ribosomal RNA is filed under the name Kocuria sp. AT05-02. RNAcentral describes it as "bacterial SSU rRNA". It matches the Rfam family "Bacterial small subunit ribosomal RNA", at positions 383 to 905 of the family's 1533-position model. Lineage: Bacteria; Bacillati; Actinomycetota; Actinomycetes; Micrococcales; Micrococcaceae. The record is from RNAcentral.